AGAGUUUGAUCCUGGCUCAGAUUGAACGCUGGCGGCAUGCUUUACACAUGCAAGUCGAACGGCAGCACGGGGGACAACCCCUGGUGGCGAGUGGCGAACGGGUGAGUAAUGCAUCGGGACGUAUCCUUGAGUGGGGGAGUAACGACAGCGAAACGUUAGUGCGUAAUACCGCAUAAGCUCUGAGGGAGGAAAGACGGGGGACCGGAAAGGACCUCGCGCUGAAGGAGCGGCCGAUGUCCGAUUAGCUAGUUGGUUGAGGUAAAGGA
Molecule: ribosomal RNA, 266 nt
Filed under: uncultured prokaryote
Description: partial 16S ribosomal RNA
Rfam family: Bacterial small subunit ribosomal RNA
Source: RNAcentral